GAGUUUGAUCCUGGCUCAGGACGAACGCUGGCGGCGUGCCUAAUACAUGCAAGUCGAGCGGACUAAUGGGAGCUUGCUCCCAGAGGUUAGCGGCGGACGGGUGAGUAACACGUGGGCAACCUGCCCUGUAGACUGGGAUAACACCGAGAAAUCGGUGCUAAUACCGGAUAAUUUCCGAGUUCACCUGAACUCGGAUUAAAAGAUGGCCUCGGCUAUCACUACAGGAUGGGCCCGCGGCGCAUUAGCUAGUUGGUGAGGUAAUGGCUCACCAAGGCGACGAUGCGUAGCCGACCUGAGAGGGUGAUCGGCCACACUGGGACUGAGACACGGCCCAGACUCCUACGGGAGGCAGCAGUAGGGAAUCUUCCGCAAUGGACGAAAGUCUGACGGAGCAACGCCGCGUGAGUGAUGAAGGAUUUCGGUUCGUAAAGCUCUGUUGUUAGGGAAGAACAAGUGCCGUUCGAAUAGGGCGGCACCUUGACGGUACCUAACCAGAAAGCCACGGCUAACUACGUGCCAGCAGCCGCGGUAAUACGUAGGUGGCAAGCGUUGUCCGGAAUUAUUGGGCGUAAAGCGCGCGCAGGCGGUCUUUUAAGUCUGAUGUGAAAGCCCACGGCUCAACCGUGGAGGGUCAUUGGAAACUGGGAGACUUGAGUACAGAAGAGGAGAGUGGAAUUCCACGUGUAGCGGUGAAAUGCGUAGAUAUGUGGAGGAACACCAGUGGCGAAGGCGACUCUCUGGUCUGUAACUGACGCUGAGGCGCG
Molecule: ribosomal RNA, 764 nt
Filed under: uncultured bacterium
Lineage: Bacteria
Description: bacterial SSU rRNA
Rfam family: Bacterial small subunit ribosomal RNA
Source: RNAcentral